UACAGAGGGUGCAAGCGUUAAUCGGAAUUAUUGGGCGUAAAGCGCGCGUAGGUGGUUUCAAAAGUCUGUUGUUAAAGCCCACAGCUCAACUGUGGAUCGGCAAUGGAAACUGUGAGACUAGAGAGUGGUAGGGGUAGAGGGAGUUCCUAGUGUAGCGGUGAAAUGCGUAGAUAUUAGGAAGAACACCAGUGGCGAAGGCGCUCUACUGGGCCAUUACUGACGCUGAUGGACGAAAGCUAGGGGAGCGAAAGGG
This 253-nucleotide ribosomal RNA is filed under the name uncultured bacterium. RNAcentral describes it as "partial 16S ribosomal RNA". It matches the Rfam family "Bacterial small subunit ribosomal RNA", at positions 524 to 776 of the family's 1533-position model. The record is from RNAcentral.